This 353-nucleotide ribosomal RNA is filed under the name Lodderomyces parapsilosis. RNAcentral describes it as "eukaryotic LSU rRNA". It matches the Rfam family "Eukaryotic large subunit ribosomal RNA", at positions 294 to 666 of the family's 3401-position model. Lineage: Eukaryota; Fungi; Ascomycota; Pichiomycetes; Serinales; Debaryomycetaceae. The record is from RNAcentral.
GGGUGGUAAAUUCCAUCUAAAGCUAAAUAUUGGCGAGAGACCGAUAGCGAACAAGUACAGUGAUGGAAAGAUGAAAAGAACUUUGAAAAGAGAGUGAAAAAGUACGUGAAAUUGUUGAAAGGGAAGGGCUUGAGAUCAGACUUGGUAUUUUGUAUGUUACUCUCUCGGGGGUGGCCUCUACAGUUUACCGGGCCAGCAUCAGUUUGAGCGGUAGGAUAAGUGCAAAGAAAUGUGGCACUGCUUCGGUAGUGUGUUAUAGUCUUUGUCGAUACUGCCAGCUUAGACUGAGGACUGCGGCUUCGGCCUAGGAUGUUGGCAUAAUGAUCUUAAGUCGCCCGUCUUGAAACACGGAC